AAUUGUUUUAAAACACAGUCAUCAGUAUGUGUUUCUUACUGCUGCUUAAAAUUAUUAGCUGUUUCUAGCAGAAGAUCACUUUUACUUACUGAAUACUUUUUUUUUUUUAAUUGAAACAUUUUUUUUGGUAAACUACAGCAACAAUAAUAUUUUUGAAGACCAUCUCCAGAUUCUAGAGGAAGGCUCUUAACCAUCCAGUUCGGACAGAAAAGAAACUUGGAGGAGCUCCCUGCAUUUUUGAAAGAUGUGACAAACUUCUUUAUGUUUUGAGGUAUGAAAGAACUUGGGGAUGGACAAAGUUACCUCGCCUCAGUAUGAAGUCUGCAUUCAAACAUCAUACUACUUUUCUGUGCUUUGCUCUCUCACAAUGCCCAUGUGAAUAACCAAACCCACAAAAAUCCCCAAAGAUCUUCACCUAUUUUUCGUGAGAAAUGUUGUCACCUUAAUAUGCUUCCUCAUGCUAAAAGAGCACAAGUAGGCUGACCUCAGCACACAAUAGAAAUGGUUGGAGUGGUGAAAGGACCCACCUAUGGUCGUGUGCUUAAUUCACCUGGACGGUGACGUUGUUGCUGCUGUUGGCCAACUGUCCAUUGCAGACUGACAUCUGCCGCUGGCUUUGUCAGAAACAACGUGUUACAAAUAGUAGCAUUGAAGGCUUUUGUCAAGGACCAAUUUCUC
Chiroxiphia lanceolata (lance-tailed manakin) is the source of this 678-nucleotide long non-coding RNA. RefSeq lists it as uncharacterized. NCBI's taxonomy places the organism in Eukaryota, Metazoa, Chordata, Aves, Passeriformes, Pipridae. The transcript has 3 exons. The record is from RefSeq and is a predicted model, not a curated record.